AGCAGCCGCGGUAAUUCCAGCUCCAAUAGCGUAUAUUAAAGUUGUUGCAGUUAAAAAGCUCGUAGUUGAAUUUCGGGGUCAGUAGGUUGGUCGUGCCACUGGUAUGCACUGGUCUCACUGAUUCCUCCUUCCUGAUGAACCGUAAUGCCAUUAAUUUGGUGUUGCGGGGAAUCUGGACUGUUACUUUGAAAAAAUUAGAGUGUUUAAAGCAGGCUAACGCUUGAAUGCAUUAGCAUGGAAUAAUGAAAUAGGACGUUCGAUCUUAUUUUGUUGGUUUUCUAAGAUUGACGUAAUGAUUAAUAGGGAUAGUUGGGGGCAUUAGUAUUCAAUUGUCAGAGGUGAAAUUCUUGGAUUUAUUGAAGACUAACUACUGCGAAAGCAUUUGCCAAGGAUGUUUUCAUUAAUCAAGAACGAAAGUUAGGGGAUCGAAGACGAUCAGAUACCGUCGUAGUCUUAACCAUAGACUAUGCCGACUAGGGAUCGGAUGAUGUUAAUUUUUUAAUGA
This 505-nucleotide ribosomal RNA is filed under the name uncultured Glomus. RNAcentral describes it as "SSU rRNA". It matches the Rfam family "Eukaryotic small subunit ribosomal RNA", at positions 569 to 1077 of the family's 1831-position model. Lineage: Eukaryota; Fungi; Glomeromycota; Glomeromycetes; Glomerales; Glomeraceae. The record is from RNAcentral.